This 1496-nucleotide long non-coding RNA is filed under the name Homo sapiens (human). Its description in RNAcentral is "HSALNT0116022". The record is from RNAcentral. Lineage: Eukaryota; Metazoa; Chordata; Mammalia; Primates; Hominidae.
CUCUUUUCCUGGUGCUGUCUCUUUGUUCUCCUGGAGCUUACCUGAACGGGAAUUCACCACCAGGGUUUUGAAUCUCCUGGUUCAUAUUUGCUGUUCUGUUGUUCUUGGUCGUGGCAGUAAUUCAAAGUCUCAAGUAUGCAAAAACCAGUUGGAAAUGUUUUAAAAGGGCAGCCAAGUAGGCAUUUCUCUUCCAAAUAACAAGCUUGAUUCCACUGUUGGAUUUUUAAAAAACUUUUAUUUAUCUUCACCAAUUAUUUAACUUUGAUUUUCAUGCCUUCUCACUGAAUAAAUAUUCCUAAAUAGGUUAAAAUAACAGAGAAAUGAAAUCAUCUAAAGACAUUAGUCACACAGUGUGCUCUGGUGAUAAGACUCCUGGACUGCAUGAGGAAAAAGUGUUGCUUCUGGCCCUGCCAUGAAGUUGUUGUGUGAUCGUGGAAGCCGUUCACCAUCUCUGGACCUGUUCCUUCCCCUGUCAAAUUAAAUGGGGAGGGCUCUCAGGUGGGCAAUUACUAUUUUUUUGAUGUUCACUUUCUAUCUCCUUUUUCUUUUGGUAAUGAGACCCUGUAUUUCCUUUGGGGAACCACCCCUCUUCUACAGUCAGUCAUUUAGUUCAGCUGGGGGACCACCAUGAGCUUGAGAUGUGGGAUCCCCUCUGUGACAGUGGGAGUUGGAAAGGAUGCUUCUCAUAGCAUGAAAGGAUAACUAGAAACAACAUUUUUAUGAAAGUAAAAAUGGCUAGCAAGUCAAACUAUUUCUUAUCUCCUGUAUUAGUCAGCGACUGCUGCGUAACAAAUUACUAUGAACUUAGCAGCCAGAACAACACACACUUAUUAUCUCAGUGUUUCUGCAGGUCAGAAGCCUGGGCAUGGCUCAUCUGGGUUCUGAGCUUCAGCAUCUCACUAGGCUGAAGUCAAUGUGUUGACUCAGCUGCAGUGUCAUCAGAGACUCAACCAGGGAAGGAUCCACUCCCAAGCUCCCUCAGCUUGUUGGCAGAAUUCAUUUCCUUCUUCUUGCAGGGUUGAGGCUUUGCAUUCUUGCUGAAGCUGCUCUCAGCAAUGGCAGUUUGCCUGCAGUUCCUUGCCAUAUGGGCUUCUUCACCAUGGCCACUUACUUCAUGUCAGAUUUUUCAAGGCCAGUAAGGGAGAGUACAGUAUGUCUGCUCCUAAGAGGGAGACUUAUAUAUAUGGUAACUUAAUCAUAAAGGGACAUCCCAUUAUCUCUGCCAUAUCCUGUUAGUUACAAGUAAGUCCCAGGUCCUGCCCACACUCAAGGGGAGGAGAGUACCCAGAGGCAUGAUCCCAGAAGGUGGGUGUCUUUGGGGGUCACUUUGGGUCUUUCCACUACAUUCUCCAUUGAACCUUCUAUGUGGAAAGACUGACUUGACAUGUCAAUGAAUAUUUAAUGCCUUCUCCAUUCCAUUUGGUAAGUGUCUCCAAGUCUUGGACUGACACUGCCCUUAUUGUACAUACUGUUCAAUGGUUUUAUCUUGAGUUCCU